Non-coding RNA from Xyrichtys novacula (pearly razorfish), 26523 nucleotides. The record is from the annotation of a GenBank genome assembly. NCBI's taxonomy places the organism in Eukaryota, Metazoa, Chordata, Actinopteri, Labriformes, Labridae.
CAUGAGAAAGGACCCAACUUUGGCCUUCAAGUGAGUUGAUGGUGUUGAGGGAGUGAACCUGGGAUCCUGGGAUUCACUGCUGAACCCUCUGGAGGUGUCGUGGCCCUAUCAGUGAAACACGCAAGAAGGAGGGCACUCACUUGACAACCCAAAGGAUGCCAUCACUCACUUCACCAUCCCACAGAGUCUCAUCAGUGCCUCAAGUAUGUACCCAAUGAGAGAUAUCAACAUCAGUCAUACACAACAAAUUAGUUCAAUGUAGUUUAAGUAGAUAUUAGAGGAGUCUGAUUUGGUAAAACCAUUGUAUGUGUUUGUAAACUCCUGCAAAAGCCGGUGCUCUACAGGCCAGGCUACACUUACAUCAGUACUUUUUGAGGGAUCAGGGUUUGAAGCAGAGGAAGUUAAGGGUUAUGUGGCUUUCAGUCAGUCAUACAAAGUAAUUUAAGACAGAUUUAGGUGGGCUGUUUUCAAGGUCAUGGCAAAUGGAGGUGCUGGGAGAGGUAUGGGUCAGUGGUGUGGACCUGAGAAAGGAAGUCACUGUGAUAAAUCCACUACGGGUGCUGUGGCAGCUCUUGAAAUAUAACAGCCUUUUCCCAGCUCUGUUGUUUUCUUUUGCCAUUUCGAGCCACAUAAUGAAAUGUGCCCACAGCUUUGUCUAGCUGCUGAAGAUAUAGAGUAACCAUGAGGGACAGUGGUGAAGUGUUUGCUUUACCACUUUAAACAGCUAAAAUAAACACCAGCGUUCAUUAGCGCACAGCCAUUACUUCCAGCUAUGUCAUUCACAAGAUCCAGAGUCAAAUCUCUCAGGUUACUCUGCUACUGUCAAAUGUCAUGUUUUACAACUGCUGGCUUUUAUUGUAGGUCCUGUGGCUUCUAUACAACGGGCCUCACAGCGGUAUGCGCUUUAACACCCACCCUGCUUCGCUCACAUGCGGCCGCAGUGACUCGUUGUGUAAUGGAGACAGUUAUAUCAGGGCCGAUGCUCUCUGGCAGUGCGGACAUGCCGCUAUGAGUGCAUGUUGUUAUUGGAAAAAGCAGAGAGCUGAGCGAGGUCAGGGCUGCUGCGUAGCACCUCAUCAGUCAGCCCAACAGCCCAGAGGAGGGAUUGUUUAAAUUUGGCUCCGCUCCCUCGUCUUGAGUUACGUCCAGAUGGUCGAUGAGAAAGUUGAGAGACGGGGGUCUCGCUUGGUCGAGUGUUCAGAGAGUCACUUCUUCAAUUUAAAAACGGCCAAUCAUUUCAUAUGACGUCCAAAUGCUUCUUCUAUAGACAAAAAACACCCCUCCUGAUACUCAUAACUCACUGUUCCUUUAAAGUUCACUUCACAAGGUCACUAAACCGGGGUCUGGCUUCUCUCUGAGAAAUUGUAGUGUGUCCUAAGCCAGAUGGCCUCCUACACCACAUGAGAAGUGGUUUCACCUGCAAGGCAAUCAGACAUUUGGAGUGUAGGUACCUUUUCUCUGAAAACAAGCUGACAUGUGGCUGGUUCUGUGUUUUAUCGCUGAACAUCCAGUAAAUGUUUCCAUAUGCUCUUUGUUUACAGUCCCACUGGUUUUCCUUGCUGUGUUCUCCAGUGACAUGUUGAACCAAACCUGCUGUUCUCAAUCAGAGAUGUGGAGCUUUUUGACAUUCAUUAUGAUUUUAUGUCACGUCUUACAGUGUUUCAAGUUCAGAGGAAAAGUCAACUGUAUAAAGUCUACAUAGUUUAUUCAUACAUAUCAUUUCUCCCUCAGCUGGAACAGGAUCUCCUGCCUGUACCAGACAUAUCGCUUACAAAGUAAUCAGUAAUGUGAUGUCUUGUUUAUAAUCUUUUAACUUAAGUAUUAACAGAUAUAGUAAAGACUGUCUAACAAGUAUAAACCACAGCUAAUUUGAAGUAUUAAAACUCCAUUCUAUUUUGAUUAGUAAUGAGUGAAAGUGGCCUGAUUGAGAUUUGAAAGGGUCUUUAAUGAACUUUGAAGUCUCCCUCAACCUUCUUUUGAAACUUUUUUUAGACUUUGCUACGACUGACUUGUUGACAGGAACUUUACGAAGUGUACCAAACCUGACAGAGAACAGUCAUAGCUGUGUCCGGCUCUGUCGCAUACAUUCACAAGAAAAAACAAAGCACGACUGUUGCUGAGUAACACACCUCUGUCCAGUCUGCCAGAUUGCACCGAUAACGGAACAACCAAAUUGAACUAUGUGCAAGCAGAAAUUUGUGGAGUUGUGUAGAGCACAUCAGUUCUUAGUGUGAAACUGAACACUGAUACAAACAAAGAAACAAAGGCGAAGGACAGCGCUGUAUUCCAGUCCAGUUCACAAAGUUACAAUACCAUCUGUAUAGUUUAGAGGAGGCCUGCUGGUCUGACUACUUAAACAUGUGCCUGUUCAAUCCAAGUUACUAUCAGUUGUAGCACAAACAAAGCUGAAUGAGAAGUUUUUAAUCCUUGAGCAUUAAAAAAUAACCUCCAAAGUCUUUUGCUUGAAAUGAGGCCAAAAUAUAAAUCUCAACUCAUCACUGUGCUGAUCCAAGGAAACGUGAAUUAUACCGUCUUCUCUUUAUUUAUGAUUUGGCAAGGUUUUUAAAAUCAUUUUUGGCAAACUGCAGUGUUAUUUUUGGGUCUGUCAAACUUUAAAUAUUUCAAAUUACGAUAAAUCACAGACUUUCAAUCAUAAAUUUGGAAGAAAGCACUAUGAAUUGCAUGUUUCAAAUUUUUAGUGUUUUGCAUGCCGGAACAGCUUUCAAGUCUAAAUUAAUGAUAAAAAGCAAUCCUUGGUGUCUUUGAUGUGAAAAUCAAACGAAUACAAAGAAACAUACUCUAUGAUCUUGACUUUAACUUUAUUUUUCAUUUUAAUGCUGUGAUGAAAAUGAAAUUAAACUAUGAUACAAAGGUAGGAAACGGCUUAAAAGUGCCUUUUCUUUCCUAAAACAUUUAUUUUUUUAAAUAAAAACACUGCUAACAUAAACAAGUAUUAACAUGUGGGGUGUUUAUGGCCUAGUGGUCCAAGCGCCCCACAUAUGAAGGUUAUAGUCCUCAUCACUCUUUGGCUAUCCAGUCUAAUAAAGGUAAAAACAUUUAAAAGUAUGAAUUAAAAAAACAAAAUAUGAAUAUGCAUGUAAAAAAAUGUCACUCUAGAUGAGUGUCAAUAUGGUGUGUUCAUAUGCUGAGAUAAUUUUAAUAACUCUCUUACAUCCUGUAAACCCUGUUUAAUGCAACAACAUUAGCAUUUUUCAGGAUUUCUAGUUUGAGUUUUUGUUUCUGUUCUUCCUUUUUCUUCUUUUCAGUGAGAGGGCAGAUAACCAGCAGCCGUGCCUCAUUAAAAGGCUCCUCUCCUCUCUGGUUGUACCUGAUUUAACUGCAGAGGAAAGCGGACAAACAGCCACACAGAGACGCAGACCGAGCUGCUGUUUUGUGAGACACAGUGGGGAGCCGUACACUGUGAUAGGAGGUCACAAGGAGCCUACAGGAUGCAGCAGGUGGGGAGCGAAGUCCGGUGAACCAGAUGAUGUUGAUGUUGGUGAUGAUAAUGAGGCAUUGCAGUGUGACCUGGAAGUCUUACUCAAAAAUAGAGAGGGGAAAAUAAGACACAGUGCAGAAGAAAGACUAAAAAACACUCAGAGAGAAGAAAACCACAUUGGAUCAGCCAGUUUGAGACAGGAGAAAAACAGAUGACAAAGAAAAGUUAAUACAGGGUCAGUCGAGAGAGAGAGGAGACAGAUUUUGACUCAGAGAAAAAGAAACAGACAAAGAUGAGUAUCAGCAGAUGAACAGUUAUGAAAAUUCAGCGUAGAGGUGCAUUAAACUGCAGUUCCUCUGGCGGCCACUUGAGGCUGACUCGAAAGGCUGCUUAGAAAGUUUUUUAUGCAAAUGCAUAAAACACACAAUAUGCAUGUUAAAAAGUCAUGUUUUUCACUGAGAGAGGUUUAUCUCAGGUCUAAGUAGCUGUGUGCUUCAUCCCUGUUAGCAGUUCUUUGUCAUGCAUUAAUUAAUUUUCAUUUUCAUUAUUAACAGUCCUUGCAAGGAAGUUAUCGUUUUUGUUGUUUUGCUGCAGAGAACACGGUUGGUAUUAGGCCUGGAGGUGAACAGCUACUUGAAUUAUGAUCUGAACAAAACAGAAAAAUCAAAGACAGCUCUGACUUUUUAGUUGUUAUAGAGCUUUUACCUGAAUUGGAGCACCCCUGAGCAUGCAGUAGUGUCUGUUUUGCCGUGACAUCUUCAUCUAGUCACUUAGCUGUCAGACUUAGCAUACCCACUGGCCUAACAUCAGGACCACCGCUGAUAAACUUCAAAACUCUGGAUGACGUCACCAGAGCUACAUCCAUUUAUUACACAGUCUAUAGUACUGUCCUCUUCAGCCUUGCAUCUUGUGCCAUCGUGGCUUUACUUUUGCUUUCAACUGUUUUUGUUUGUCUCCAGGAUUUUCUUGCUUUUACACUUAUGGACUUUGUCACAAAUGUCAGCCUAAUGCCUUUCUUUAUUGUUUGGUCUGCUUUUUUGAUCGAAUCACUAUUUUAAAAAGAGAUAAAGUGUGAUAUUCACUGGCCUGCUCUGACAAAGACAGGAUAAGUCCUCAGACUGAGAUGUAAUUCUUAAAUUCAUUAUCAUUCAUAAACCCCGGCCUGUAAUCAUUAACUCAUCUGCAGACUGCUAUCAUAUGAAAAUGGCACCCUGGCUGCACACCCUCCAUUCACACAAUGACAAGAUAUUUAACUGGUUUCACAGAGGCCCAUUCAUCAUGGUGAGUGGAGAGGAGCACAUUUCCUUUCCCACUUCUGUCUGUAAGAUGAACAGCUCCGCUGGCUCAGCUCCGGCUCGCUCUCAUUUUAUCUCGUCUGAACUCCCAGCUCCUCUCUGCUGUGUGACGACAGCCGCUGAUGGCUCUACAACUUCAAGCUGUUGGGGUUUUAGCUUGAAGUGCAUGUAUUGUUGCAGUGGGAUUAAUUCUGAUGGCCAGUGUGGAUGUUCAUGCAUAGAUUAGAGAAGCAUUGUCACAUUUCUAUUUUUAUAAGUAACCCCUUUAAUCCACCAAAGUGAAAACAAUUCUUUGAAACAAGUGAGUUUAGAUCACGUCUGCACAGAUUUCAUGCAUGUAAAUCCAGCACACAAACAUCCAUGCAUCUUUUUUUUAACCCUGAAGCAUCUGAAAAGCUUUUGUGGAGCUUUAUGUGUAAAACAGCGAUAAACACAGGAAGUGCAGAUAAAUCAAAUGUUGUCUUGUUUGCUUGAAAACUGCCUAUUAUGAUGACUCAAUCACAACAACAGUCUUCAAGGUUGGACUGAAUCUUCUGUGAAAAGAAAAUCAAUACAAAUAGUGUGUGUGCUUUGUAAUAAUCAUACAAUAGAGUUUUAAUAGAAAACAUGAACAUGCCUUCGUAGACAAGUAGACAAAGUCGAUAAACUUAAGUAUCGGUACAUCCUUCACAGGAGUAUUGUUUUUGAGGGGAAGUGUAUUACUUUUAUCCCACAACAGCUGAAAGAUGAAUAAAGCACUUUUAACUCCACUAUAUUUAUCAGUGACUGUUUCUGUGACUCACUACUUUUAACUUCGCAGAUAAAUUUCUUUCCUUCUGUCUUAUAAAUACUUGGGUGUAAUGAUUGAUGAUUUGUUGUGCUGAAAAGAUCACUCUGACUUUCUCUGUAAAAAGAUAAAACUGAUCAUUUAUUUCCACUGACAGAGAUCUUUUGUUGCAAGAGGACAAUUUUUUUUUUUGGUUUUUUUUUCUUACUUCUGUAAUUUUGAGAGACCCACAGCACUGUGAUACCACACGUCUGUCCAAACUGCUCCAUCAGAUCCGACCUAUAAGCUGUUAGCCACUUCAGAGACUCUACAAACAUGCUAAAGCUGGGUAAAAACAUUGUUGCUAACCUUCACCGUGCUCUAAAUAUAAACUGUGACCGUCAAAUCUGAGAUACAGAGUCCCUGAAGCACUCGUUUAUACACCAGUUCAUUGUUAAGUUAAAUAUGGAGCUGAAUCCCAGAGUAAAAAUACGUAGAAAGCCUCUGAAUGUGCUGUCUGCUGUCUAAACUGUUUAUGUUUCUUGUCCUGCAAGUUUUAAAUGGAGCAGCAGGGAUUCAAGUCAAAUUUCAGACUAACAUAAAAUCUAAUCUAAUCUAUUUUAAUCUAAUCUAAUCUAAUCUCAUCUAUUUUUAACUUUUCUGAAACCCAUUUUAUUGCACAUGUUGUAUAAACACUUGUGUUGUCACCAUGUACCAACAUACGGCUUCUAUAUUUCCCCCAUCUCAGUUUACGUCUUUCAAUUAUAUCGUUGCCAUGACUACAUUUGUUACACAUUGUUAUCCUUCUUCAUUCAGCUUGCUUCCUGAUUUGUUCUCGUUUUGCUCCAUGUGACAAUGGACAGAAAGCAUUCGAGAGACUUCAUGAAUUUCUAGUUUUGACAGUCAGGAACUCUGAUUGUUGGUGAAAAGAGUCUUCGUGUGCAGUGAACAUUGUUUACCACCAUAGGGACCAAAACGGUUGGGCUGGUCAUCAUUCGUCCUUAGGUAUGGAGUCUCUGUUGUUUUAAAAUGUUUUUGGGGAAAAAAUCAGUGAGAAUACUUGGAUAUGUUUAAAAGGCAAGGACUGAAGUGAUAAUUGAUCAGGAGUGUCCUUGCUCUGACUACAGUAAUGAAGUUUUGUACUUUUUACACCCGCUGAUGUCUCACUUUAUUCUCUUCAACAUGUCAUGCAACAGAAGAGAAGAGUGCCCAGCCUGCACAAAUUUACAAGAAGCUAGAAACAAAACCGAUUAAAGCAACAGCAUGUGAAGAAGAAGGAAGACCAAUUAAUGCUAGAUAUGUCAAACAAUAACAAAAUAUUAUUAAAAUGUGGCGCCUCAGCCGUUGGCACUUCAUCAGCACUUCUCGUGCAAUGACUUUUACUCUUCUAGAUCAAUCAUCACGAGUCAUUGAAUGCUGCUAAAGGCAUUUAACACAAACAGAGGAAGCUAAAACACUUUGUGUGCAAACAGUCAAAUGUUAUCAUAAAUGAAAGACACAUUUGGACUUUGUUUUUACAAUUUCAAUAUAUGCUGACUCACUGUAUUUCUCUGAACAAAGAAAACAAAGACUUUCAACUUUCUAGAUUUAUUUCUCUCCCCUUCUAUUUUAUUUUAAAUGACUCAUAAGUUUCUCUUAAGUAUCAUCCAAAUAAAGCAUUUUCUCUCGUUAUUUGAACAGCUCUAAAUCAAGAAAGUAAUAUAAUUGUAUGUCACUGAAAUGGAUGACUGUGCCAACAAAGCCAUCAAAUCCAGAGGUGAUGUGUCAACAGGGGGCACCAUACCACUAUCAUGCAGUGGAUUUUUAACAGACCCUCUUGAAUUAGCAUGUGGCUGCAUGACUGAGUGUGAGCCCCUCCUAAAUAAACCAAUUUUCAGUCAUGUUUAAUAGAAUGAUUGAGGUUGACAGAGGUGACAGAUUUGGGAUCAUUAUGGCUCCGACUCGUGACUGAUGACUGCUGAGAUGUCAGAAGAGGCCGAUACUUAAUGUGACUUCAUUUUGCUCCCAGCUUGACCUUUACAACUUCCUCUCAAUACUCAUAAUGAUUCAUGGUCCUGAAGCAUGCUGAUGAGAGCUGAGCCCUGAGUGAUGCUGGAGUGAUUGAUGAAUGAGAACCACAGCAGGAUGCUUGUCUGUGUCAUGUCAUAUUUUGAGCCUGCAAAGGACUUGAUGGUGCAGCGUUUUAGACUGAAGAGCACUUUAAUUGUUUGAAGUGAACUCUGGAAGCUGAAACAUGCUGCAACAGAAAAUCUCAAAUGUGCAAGGGGAAAACCUCUCUGCAGAAUGUUAAAUUAAUGAUUGGCUACGAGUCAAUAAAAGGAAAAAUGCAAUUUGGAGAUAUUUGAUAUCUAGCUGCCUCAACUGAACUACUCCAGGCCUGUAGAUGGCGCUAUAGGAGGUGUAUUUACCUUACAGCAUUUUUGUUUGUUUUUGCGUGAAAAAGAGAUAAGUGUUUUCUUUCCCACUGAAUUAAUUCUAUUGAUGUUUGACAAAAAUUGUGUGUGCCACCAAACAUCUUUUUAACAACCCAUCUACUCUCUUCCAGCAGCUGCUCAGCGAGACCAUCCAGACCUCAGGCCAGUCUAUGGACUACAGUGGGGUGACGCAGCAUAAGGAAGAACAUCUAUGAUCAUUACUUUAUCAUUUCCCUGAAGUAAUAAUCACCAUAUUAAUCAUUUUGCAACGCAGACGCGGUAGUUCUUCUACCUUAGUGUCUCGGUCUGAUUGCAUUUCCAUGAAGUAAUGAUCAUAAAUGUUCUUCCUUGAGCUGCAUCACCCCGCAGUAGUGCGUAACGGAUUAGCCUGAGGUCUCGAACAAACAAGCGACUGCUGGCAGAGAGUAGGUGAGUUGUGUUUAGUCUCUUUGCUAAAGAAAUUAGGCAAAGCUAAAAAGAUGUUUGGUGGCUAGUGCUAUGCCUGGGAUGUGUACAGUUGAUGAAGUUAGAUGCUGUUCUGAGCAUUAUUUGUGGCUAUAGAGUGGUGUUUUGGUCGAGGUUUGUUUAUGGCUCUUCAGACUGCUGUGGUCGGCAACAUUCAUCUCUCGAGGGGGUGUCUAACUCGGUGUUAUGGUGUGUUUGACCCUAAAUUGAUUUUACACCAGAAUAUCCCUUUAAUGUACAAAAGCUGCAUGUCUGAUUUGUUUUACUGGUUUCUUUGUUUAAAUGUGUGAGUGUGUGUGGUGUGUGAUUGUUUUGUACACAGUAAUGUCCUGUAUAAGGACAAAAACACAUCUUUGCUUCUUCUGGGCGCCCCCUCUCCUCUCCUUUCCUCACCCUCCCUUCCUCCCCCUCCUCGACUCCCUCCCUCUCCCACCUGGCAUAGCUGUCAGCAGUAUGGCUCUGUGCCUUGGCAUCGAACACACCAUCUCUCUGGCACGUCAUCUGGUAGCAAGAAUGAGGUGUGGGACGAAGCCAACUGGGGCUACUCUGAUCAUUGUGGUCGUCCACUCUACGGAAACCCGGAGGGGGGAUUUUCCACCUGUUCAAUGGGAACCUGAAGUGCACCUCCAGGGGCCACCAUAUGCCAUCCAGAUUCAAGCGCUCCACCCAAAGGUCUGUUAAAGGUGAGUCUUUAUUAGUAGCAUAAAUGAAGUUAUAAUAAAACAUCACAAGAACAGCUAAAUAAUCGUGGUAUACCUACAGAUAAACCAACUUAUUCACCAAACGUGUGAUUGAUAGUCAUUUUUCAUACAGACUCACUAUGCUGGAUUCCCUCCCAUCUGACAGCGUCAAUGUCAAAGCAAGAAAAUAUUAAUACCAGUAUUAUUAACAGUGGUUCUGUUGAGUUCAAGAGUCCCAGGAAGCUUUGACAGAGUGACAGCGUGCUACGAUGCACAAAAGAAGGAGCCUGAAAUUGAAGGCACUGCUUCCUACUGUGACAUGUCAAAAUGUCUUCUGUGAAGAAAUCUCAAGGUGUAAAUAUGCUUCAUAAAGCUGCAGGCAAAAACUUUCCUUACUUUCAAACUGCAGCGAAGGUUCAGAGCCACACAAUUUCAUAUAGUGAGAUCUGUCUGAAUGUGUGAUGUUAGUGCUACCAGAUUUAUGGAAGACAAGCCUCAAUCAUCUCCUAUUUAAGAAUAAAUGAGGCCAGACUCGGUAGAGACUGAUAGAGCUAGUAACGUGUAUUGGAGCCAAGACAUAGGCAGAUUGAUAUGGUGCUAGACUCCCUAAAGUGCACAUUUUAUUUAACAGCAAAGAUCUCUCAGGUACCGUCCAAAGCAUGAUAGGUUCUGGUGCCAGCUUGAAAAAUGUUCGUGUUUUGUUCUUUCUCUCUCAGAGAGCCAGGAAUUUACAUCACAUUCCCUCUCUAUAGCAUAAAAUAAAUGUUUUUCAAGCUCCUUUAUAAUAGAAAUGUCAUCUAACAGAAGAAGGUGAAUUUAAUUGACCAGUAUUUUAGUUUCCAAGCUUGACCCAUGUUUCAUUAUGUUACAGUGAAGGAGGCCAGCACCAUGGUUUUACUGCAGCCGGUCAGAAGGGGGAGCUCUAAAAGGUUGGCUUUACCUUUGGGAAGCUGCCAUGAUGUCCAUCACUCAUCAAGUCUAAGGUAUGUUAUGAUCUGUCUUCUGCUUACCUGGAAAGAGCACUUACUUUUAGUGCAGUUUGACAGCGAUGGUAUUAGUGACUGGACAGUAUCAAUGUCGCUUAUCCCAUCAACACCGACUGUCACCAGAUUCUACAGCAAAAAUGAUAAAUCAUAUUUGAUGUGACCACACCUGUAGACAGAAACUUGAUAUCAUUCAAAGAAAUCAAACUUUUUUUUGACACAAUUUGAAGAAAGACAAAGAGCAGAUUUGCUUUUUCAAUAUAAAAUCCCUUACACAAUUUUUAUUCAGGGCAUUUUACUGUAAGAAAUAACUUGAACAUUUGUCAAAUUUAUCAUGAUAUAACAUACAGAAAACCAAGUUUUUUGCUGGAUCCGUGUGAAAUAGCACAUCUACUACCUGUUUGUCAAUCAGUGUUGUGUCUAUGGGCUCUAGUUUAGCUCAGCAGGGGUCCUAUAAACAGAGGCAACACUCUUUGGCUCAUCCAUCUCUCUUACAUGUUAAACUCUUAAGUCUAACUGAAAUCGCACUAAAUCAGGCUCCUCAUAAUCAGACUAACAUACCUAGAUAACUCUGGUUGGCGUUUCUCUUCCAUGCAUACAGAUAAAUCAGACUGAAACUGGUCUAAGCAUUCUGCACACGCUCCAGUGGUUUCACGCCAGGCUUUGAGCUGGAAGUUGAACAGCAUGGAUGCAUUACUUGGAAGCUGAGCAAAGAAAAAAACCUUGACAGAUGAAGAAAAAAAACACAAAAAUUUGUUAUCAGGAUGGAUUCUCCAAGCUGGCAUGAUGUGGUUUAUGGCAACCCCUCUCCUUUCUCCCCACAUUUCUUGUCUCCCUCAAGCUAUUCCAUAAGAAAGGCAAAAAUGCCCCAAAAUAGUGAUAAAAAAUAUACAGUUUUAUACUUGAAUAAAUCCAGGCAGUUACUGGUUCAUUCAUUAGUUGUGGACCACUAUUCUGAAGUCGUGAGUAAGACCUCUCAGCUGCAGCUGUCUGGUUUUCUGGGGGGUCAUAAGUGACCAUAUUUAGAUGAGAGGGGUUGGACACCAAGGUCAACUGAAGCACUUUAAAUUAAUGGAGGUGACUCCUGGCAGAAGACUAGCGUCACCCACCUGUCUCUGAAAGCAGCCAUGUGUUUAUUAUGCAUCCCUUUGAACCACGGUAUAAUUCCAAUGAGUGAGUUAAAUUAACAACCAGUCAUUUGGUAUGAGCGGGUAACUGAGCUACUGAGACAAACACAUUCUGGUACAAGGCUGUAAAAAUGUUUCACUGUGCUCUGUGUUGGACUUUUAAAAACAGAUCUGUGGGGAUUGACUGCUCUCUGAGCCAGCUUCAUUUGGCAGCACCAGGAUCUGCAGUUUUCACCACUUCUGUGUUGGCUUUAUUUUUCAGCCCUGGAGGCUGCUGCUUGGAUACACAUGGUUAUGGUUUUUACUGUUUCCUCUGGCACGUUAAGUAUUGUCUAGUUUUGUAACCUGUGCAGCGGCAGUUUUGGCACAGAUUUUUCUGGGUCUUUGUUAGUUAAACUUUGUUGCUGUAAAAGCUCAUAUUUCCAAAUCUCAAAUGACUGACCUCAUUCAGAAAAGUUACACAGUAUCAGGAGAAGAAUGAGGUGAAGUAUUAUGUUUAUAAGGGAGCCUCCCUGCAGGGAAUUCAGACCCCAUAAUUCUUCCCUGGAAACUGCGAGUACAAUCUUAUUUUUGGAUCUGCAAAUCUUUUUUUCCAUUUAACCCUCAACCUUGAAACAUUCAUCUGUCAUUAAAUUUUACACUCUGUUGUGUAACUCAGGCAACAAUUUCCUCUAUUGUUAUACCGUUCUAUCUUAUCUAAUCUCACCUCAUCUUACCUUAUCUUAUCUUAUCUUUAAAACAAUGUAAGGAGUUUUGAGAUCAUCUCAAACUGAUCCUACCCUUUUGCUGGACAGUUUUGUCAUGCUAGUGUAUAUCUCGACCAAAAGCCAUUUUCUGGACUUGUCGGGUGACUGUGGCUUAAAUUAAGCUUAAUAAAGUGUUUUCUGUUAGAAAUAAGACAAAACACUUGCAAGGAUUUGAGUUUUUGUUUUGUUGUUGUUGUUGUUGUUUUGAAUAAAGAAACUACAAUCAGUCUUUUCUCAGUAGAAGAGCCAAAAAGAUCAAAAGGAUCUAAUAAUUAUGCUUAUGAAUGCAUCACUUGGUUUUGUGUUUGUUUGAGUUGUUGAGACAUUUUAUUGAGAAACCGGAGUACACACGGUGACAGGUGACAUCAAAUUAGUAUAUCAAGUCAUUAUUUCAGGUUGUUAGAAUGACAAAAAUCUGUCAAAAAUGCAAAAUCAAGUUCUCACUUUUCCUCACGUUGAUCCAGUCUAAAUUUCAACCAUAUGGUGAGGGUUAUCAGAUUCAACACUAACAUACAUUUUGAGCAGAGUUUUAGAAAAAAAAGAUAUCACUCCAGGAUUAUGUAUAAUCUGUUUUGUCUUGGAGCAUUUCCCCUCCAUCUAGUGUUUAUGUCUAUAACCAAAAGUCCCUGCAAUAAUGAAGAAUUUCGACUCCCUAAAUCUGCAAAACUGCUCCUCUGCUCUUCAUAAGAGCCGCCUCAAGCUGGGGGAGUGAGUUUUUUAGUCAAAGGAGGGAUCUUUGUUCUGUGCACAGAAGGAAUAGUAAUGUUCCUAAAAGACUUCAAUACAUCAGAGAAAAUGCGUUUUCCAUCAAGUGACUCUGGCAUCCAGCUUAAAAAGCCAAAUACUCUAUCUUGGGGUUAUGAACAGCUUAAUUGGCAGCAUCACUGCAAGUGUCUCACAAGAUGUCAGCAGUGAAAGAGAGGCUACCGGAGCAAACUCCAGGCAUGGUGACAGUGCAGGGAGAAAGUUUCCAUGAGGCACUCUGGGAGCUCAGAGAGCAGUUGGCUUGAUUUCCUGUCAUCACAGGCACAUAAUUACCUCCGACUCGUGUCAAGUGGCAAAAGAACAAAGAGGAGCUCAGCAGUGAAGGAAAAAUUUAGAUCUGUUUCUGAAGUGAAAACUGAAGAACCACAUUAAAAUCGUUUCCAGUGGAAAGAUUAAGCUUUUACAGGGAGCAAUUAAACGAGAUGUUGUUGAAAAAUAAUCCCACCAUCACCAAACCUAUUUAGUGGGUGAUCAUUUUCUUUGAUCUGUGUUCAGACUAAAACUAAUCAUUUCAAAUGUAAUGACAACUUUGAAAGAAAAAGUGAUUCAGGCUCAGACUAACUACAAACUGUGCCUUUGUGCUGCUGCUCAAAACUUCCCCAGUGUACUCUGAAUUCAGUGCUAGAUUAUAACUGGCUCAUCCAUUCAUCGUUCCCUUCAUCCAUCCAUCCCAUCAGGCAUCUGUCUAUCCGUUUAACAUCCAUUCAUUCAUAAAGUAUGCAUCUGUCCAUGGAUCCAUCUGAUAUUGAUGCAUCCACCUUUCUAUCAGCAUGCAUCCAACCAUUCAUGUAUCCAUCCAUUGCUGAGUUUAUCCAUCAAUCCAUGAAUUUCAUCUAUGCAUCCAUCCAUGCAUUCAUUCAUGCAUCCAUCCAUCCAUGGGUUUAUCUCAACAACCAACCAAACCUUGCUUACCUUCAUCCAUGCAUCCAUCAGUCUGUGUAUUUAUCCAAGCAUCUAUCCAUCCAUCCAUCCACCCAUCUAACCAGUCAUAUAGUAUAGAAAUGCAUUCAUCUGCACAUCUCUUUAUCUGUGUAUCCAUUCAUGCAUUCAUCCAUUCAUCCAACCCUCCAUCCAUUUUAGGAUGAAGGUUAGGCUUGAAGCAAUAGCCAAAUAUUGUCCCUCACUUUGCAGCUGCUUGUAUGAGAUAGCUUAUGCUAACCAGGGGUUAUAGGCCCAGUGCAGCAGUUGCUUACUUUUGGAUUAAACAUAAUCUUUUCCAGACAGCUUUCCUUUUAAUCACCUUACUUAUCUUUGUGUCCCCUUAUUUCUAGCUUCUCUUUGUCUGGCACCAGAUCAGCUUGGCGUAAGCUUUAAAUCAUCAAUAUCAACUCCCCAAAAGUGAGUUUCAGAGUGAGCUUCAACGUUUACAAUACAUCACUGAGUCAUACAUCAUAGACCUGAUUAGAUUUUGCUGCAUGCUGAAGAGCACAUCUGUGUUACAUGUGCGCAUAGUGCAAAAACAAAUGGACUUGCUAAUGGUAGAAUUAAGCGCUGAAAAACAGUCUCAGUGGAAUGUGCAUCCUAAGUGAGAUGAGUGCUUGGGUCAGAGUCCUUUUUAAAAUGAACUACAUCAGGUGCUGGACCCUGCUUUGUCUGCAGGAAACUGUAGCCUAGCUUGUGUUCCAGUUCUGUAUUUAUGCAAAUAUUACACUUUAAAGUCUGUGAUAUUUCCAUUUAGUUUGCCCAGUAUUCUCAUUGCUUAUGGAUCUGAGCCUAAUGCACCUCAUUUGGUGAACAGUAUUAUGCUGUCCGCCCUGAGCAGGUUAACAGUCCAUCACAUGGGUUUACUGAUAUCAACAGACAACUGGCAAAGCUGUGAGUCCAGUACAGCUCCACUACAAACCUUUAUUUCUUGCUCAGUCCUCGUUGCUUACUCAGGAGUUGCUGUGUGUGUAGUUUCAUCUUAACUGAGUGGGGCUACGUUAUGUUUAAUAAUUGAAUUUGAGUGUAAACAGAGUACAUUCACAGGUCUUUAAACGCACUGUGGUCCAGGGAUUCAUUCAUCCUGAAUUAACUAGACUGAUAUGAUCUCAUUUAACAUUCCUGUAUCGUCCAAUCGUAUCAGUGACUUAAUAUUCUCUUAACACAACUUCAAGUGUGAAUAUAUUUCUGCUAUAUUUCACCUUCAAAGCCAGCAACCACUCAUCUCCUGGGAGCGUUUGUCACACCACGCUGCACACACGCCUCGAUUUAUACAGCAGCUGGUGCAGUAAAUGUGCUGUAAUUGCACAGUCACACAUGGAUUCGGGUGUGUUCAUACUAUCACACCAAAUCUAUUCAUCUGCGGUCCAUGUGAUAAUGAUGCCUGCCUGAGCGCCAAGCCAGCCCCUCCUAAUUCCCUCUCAGCCCGUCUGCAUGUUAUUUAAGGGUAUUGUUAUCAUGCCCGCUCACUGACUGCAUAUAAGUAUUUGUCCCAUUGUGCUUUGCCUGAUGACUGGCGGAAAUUCUUUGUGUUACAAUCUGAUUGGGCAUCAGGAGUGAUCUCUGCUGUAAUGACCCGUGCUGGGAGGUGUUACAGGAGCAGAUUUGGAGGCGCUAUCCUGUUAACAAGGAGCCUGCUGAGACAAGCUGCGAGCAACACUGCUCCAAGAUGUGUGAUUUCAUGCAAGGCCUCCCAGCGCUAGACAGUUGGUGAUCUGUAUAUCACUUCCUUUUUUUAUUAUUGUUAUUGAAUCAGACACUGAAGAAAAACUGGAGAGCUAGAACCGAGAAACACACCAAAAAUAACCCUUUUUUUAGUUUCUUUCUCUGUGGCUUGAUACCUUUAAAUGAACUGGCCUACUUUUUAUUUUUUUACACCUCUGAAUGCCUCGCGUUUGUUGAAAAAAAAAGUCUGAAAGUGAGGAUGGCUGUUUGGUUUCAGUUAUUCAUGCUGUAUUGACAGACUUUAACACACUGACCCGUGCAUUAGCCUCAUUGAUUUCUCUGACCCCUCUCCCUCAUAUCCAUUUAAUAUGAGCUACAAUACAGUAGGAUUAACCGUUCUGUUAUUUAGCCUUAUGAACCCCGCAUUCAAGCACCCUAAUUUGCUCACAGGCUCAUGGCUUUGGAAAAUGAUUGUGUUUUGUGUGUGAAUGAAUUCUAACAAAUCCUUGUUAAUCAUUGAUAAUUACUGACUGAAAACAAGUGUAUCUCUCACCAGAUAGGUUCAAAUUGUCCUGUAGCUCAUGGAUUUAACUGUUAAAUCAUUAAAGCAACCAUGUCAGAGUUCAGAUGGGCAUAAUUGAUGAUUGUACUGUCUGUCCCUGCUUUUUACAUUCAGAAAAAGACAGACUAACACCAGAUAAUUUGUAACCCAAACCAGAGAGUCAUGGUCCCCAAGUGAGGGAUCCCAAUUUAUGACCGUAAACUCCAGAAUAUCAAUCUAGCUUGAGUCAAAGCGAUGGGAUUAAGCUUGCAAGCAGCCACAGUGUGCCCCCCACUCCCCACUCUAGCAAGGUUUGUUUCUUAUACAGUAGAGAUGUUUUACAGAAUGGGUGUGUAUGUGGCUUCUGGUACUUUUGCAGCCAGCCUCAAGUGGUCACGUGAGGAACUGCAGUUUUUAGCACUUAGAAAAAAGUCACCACCAAGGUCUCAAGUGUGAAACUUGUGUCUUAUAAACCAGAUUUAAUGGGAAGUGAUUUCUCCCCUUUUCCUCUUGUGGCUGAGGUUGUUUAGUGAAACAUCUCUACAACUAUUGAAUAAAUUUAAGAAAAUCAGAUUAUCAUUUAGGUAUCCAUAUUUCAUUCAGCAAAAUGACUCUGGUUAGUUUUUCAUUGCUGCACCAUGAUCAGUUGAUCAAUGUUAGUUUAGCAUAAUUGUCCUACUGAGAAAUGUAGCUCAGAGCAGUGCUGUGGUUAAAUACAGCUUUAUAAAUCUGCUACCAUGGAAGUGGAUUCUUAAUCAUGUUGAAAGAUGACCAAACUGAACAUUAAUACAACUGUUCUACUUAUACUUAACUGUACCCUUUGAAACAACACUACAUGAUUCAUUUUUAACUGAAGCAAAGACCGAUGUCCGUUUUUCCAAAUGCUCAGCUGCAGAUUUUUUCAUUUCUGAUUUGACUGACGUUAUGAGUUAAUGGAAAUGAAGUUCCCAGUGUAGCAAUGUUUGAAAAUUUGAAUGCAAUUUGCAAAUUCAAAAUGUGAAUUACACCCAUCAUGUACACCUGGAUACUGUUCACAGUUCAGACACAGGUAAUAAAUUUACAGUCCAUGCAAAUGACUGUGCUCUUGCUCCAUGACUGAUACCCAUACAGGAAAAAAAAGUGAGCGUUAUUUCCUCUGAAGAACAAAGCAAGAACUAUCCAUCACUGCAGAAAACAACCCGGUUACCUCUCUGCUCCGUAGGCUGCAUGCAGAGUAAUUCUCACGGGGAUGUAUUCCAGACAUAAUGAGAAAGAAACAUCGGGGUAAACAAAUCGACUUUUUUUUUAGCAGGCGAGCCUAAUUACAGGGCAGGAAUAAAUAACUAUUGGAGAGGAGACAGGCUCACUAGUGUAAUGCAUCGUAAUGGACCAUGGGAAGUUAAUGCGUCAUUUUUCUCCCGAGCCUGACGUGUUGUUGUGGUGUACUCGGUUCAGUCUGAAUUCUCUGAUCCUACAGAUGUUUAGCUGCCAUGCCAAACUGCUCUGACUGGGGUUUAUUGUUUUGCAGCCACUUCUGCAAUAAAUCCGUUUUUAACAUCUUUAGAGAAGCAUCUGUUUACCCCUUGUGUGCCAGAGGUGUAACACGACAGCCAUUUCAGCAACAUGUUCCAUCACAGUGAACUGAAAUAUGCAUGUUAACCCACUGUGAGGGGGGAUUUUAACUGGCUAUGCAACAGCCCCAAUUCAAUAUUGAUGUCUCUAUAUGACCUAAAAAGAGUAAACCAGACCAUCAGUUAAAAUAUUGACAAUUUCUAUAUAGUUAUGAAUUCUUGUCACAGUUGAAACUGGGUCAGACGCCAUAAAGUGAUUUACAGCUGGCAGACUAAAAGAGCCGUUGUUUGCAUUUUCAUGGCAAAGUCACACUGUCGUAUUUUAGCCUCUUUAAUGGAGGAAAAUGAUCAUUUCAAGGCACAAAAAGAUGGGAAAUAACAUUAUACUGUAUAUGUCUGCAGGUGCUGCCAAAAUUAUAAUGUAAAAGAUACUUCCAGCUGCUUUUACAUCCCUGUGAAAGAGAGGAGAAACUGAAGGUAGAUGAGCUUGAGAUCUUUUUUGUGUUUUUAAAGCUCCUUGGAGAUGUCUGUAGUUGAGCACUGAUGCUUUUUCAAGGCCUUCUACAGCAAACAAGACCAUCAUAAAGAAAACUGACCAUUUCUCUGCUGCAGUCUUUAAUGCAUAAAUCUGCUGCUGCUGCUGCAGGGUAGGAAGUAUAGAUUUCUACUAUGCUCCAGAAACAGACUACAGUAUUUCAUAGAACAGUCUAACAUGAUACAUUUACAGUUAAAAGAAAGGAGGGUGAGAUUUUUUGUCAGAGACUCUGCAUACAAAUGAACAAGACAGAAUCAGGAAAGAGAUCAGGUAGUGUCUUUUUCCACAGGGGGCGCCAAAAUCAACCCAACCCAAAAGUUUCUUACAGGAGCUUUAAACAGACAAAAUCUCAAACAUGUCUGACUGAAGUGAAGGACCAUCUCAGAUUAAACAGACAUUUCCUCUUCAAAUAGAAAUCAUAUCAAAGUAUCUGACUAUAUUCCCUCCAAUCUAACCUUGGCUGAGCAAAACCUCUGGAUAAGCCACCUGGCCUCUGGUGUUAUAUUUAUAAGAACCAGACCUGCUGAAAAUGUUUCACGACUUUUUUUGAGCACUGAUGAAAAGCCAGCAGAGCGUGUCAUAAAAAGAUGGGUGCAGAGUAUAUCUUAGGGGCAUCGUACAUCUUAAUCAGCUUUCAGAUCCAGUGAGGACUCUUUAUAAAGUUUUCUCACCAAACUUCAAACCACCUCUUCAACCUGUGUCUUCACUAUGAUUCCCAGAAUGCAUUUCUGUAUUGCACACACAGGAUAGAGGAAUGCAACAGUGCUUGAUACCUCACUUAGGUGUGUCAAAUGCGCAUUACAUUUAGAUAUUUUUGAACUCUGUGUGACUGUUGAUUAAGGUUGGACAUUCUCAGGUUUUUUCUGUGUUAACACGGAUUUAAAGUUAUGUUUUUGGUCUUUUACUGUAUUUAUUUAGAGAGGACAGAGCAUGACAUUGGGAGUGACAUGGGACAAAAGGGUCCUGAGCUGCUUUCUUCAGGCAAAACCUCUACACAAGCAGCACCCUCUGUUUUAACUAACGUGAAAUAAAAACAGAACAAAACAAUGAAAGAGAUCUUCUCUUUUCAUAUAUUCCCUAUUCUCAAUAAGAUAUUCCUGUUCAUACUUGGGUUAACCAAGCUUUAGACUAUCUGUUACUGUUUUUAUUCCUAAUUUUCCAUCAUUCUAAAUACUGCAAGCAGAAAAACAUCUUAUUUAUACACACUAAAGUUGAGAAAUGAGGAAUUUAUCCUGACAGCGGGUAGGUUGUCAAUGUUUGGUAAAGUGAUGAUAUUGCUGGCACUGGCAGCAAUUUAAAGACGCUUUGAAAAACAGCCUCAGAGUUUUUCAUUAAACACUGUUUGAACCACUGACUGUCUAUAGAGUGAGCGAUGCACCUUUAUUUGCAGCAACAGUGAGUUUUGAAGCCAAAAUAAUAUGAACAAUAACAUAUCGCACUGGUAGAGCCAAUAUCGCUGGUGUAGCUGCAGGACUGAUGUCACACCCUUACAGUUACAAUCAUGGCUGUGGAAAGCUCUGUGACUUUUGUGUUAGUGUUUGUGAUGUUUCCUCUCACUGUUCCUCUUUAAGAGGAACUAUUGUAGGAGCCAGAAUUUGUCAGCAGAGCUGCUAAUCUGUAUCCACUUUAACAUAAAAAAAACUCAACAGAACCAAAUAUAUGAGAAUAAUGAACACUUGCAUAAAAAGUAGCAUAAUGAAAACGUAGUUUGUUUGACAGAAAGCACAUUUGAAAAGGAUUUAUUUAAUGUGCAUUUUCAUUAUUGAGUUUGGGCCAUAUUUAAUCACUUAUAAUGGAAGUGUUAUAUUGCAGCCAGUCAGCAGGGGGAGCUCCAACAGUUUUGCUCCACACUCUGACUCUGCACAUGUCGUUCACAGUCUGUAAUUUCAACUUCAAAUAUAAACAGAAAGUCAUAGUCUGCACACCAGGAGCUGCCUCAAUGUGAAUUUAAUGAAAAGCAUCACCACAUGUGAUGAUCAUCAGACAUGUCUGAUGAGGGGAAACGACCCAAAACAAGUUUCUGUCCUGAACUGAGCUAUUGAAGUUUCAGAUGUGCAUGCUACUUCUUUAUUGCUUUUUUUUUUUAAAUUAAAAUACGGCUUCCCUCAGGUUUUCAUUAUUUACUCUUCUCAGUUGUUCAUCAUUUGAGAAGCAAUUUCCAACGUUUCUGCAUUUAACAAACUUGAAACUCAGGGAUGUGGCACCAUCUGAGCCUUCCACUCUUGGAAUGAUGACAGAAUAAUAAAAAUAAUAACUUUAUUUUUAUAGAGCCUUUAAAAACAGACGUUUACAGAGUGUUUAGACAGACAAAGCAAAGGCAGGCACUCAGGAAGAUAACAGAGUAAAUAUUUAAUAGUCAGGGCAAACAGAAAGAAGUUAAAGAUGACAAAAGGUAAGAGAAAAAUGCGACACGAAAGGUAAAUGAGUAUAAACACAAAUAAAAAGAUUAAAUGUGAUAGAACAGAAAGCUCUGGAAAGGCAGUUAAAGCAAUGGAGCGAUACAAAUAAAGAGAUCAAUAAGAGAAGAGAGGCAAUGAGCCACAGAACGAUCAUAAGAGGACAACAUCACAUCAGCAGAAAUCAAAACAGAAAAAAAGAUCUGAAGCAUUGAGAAAAAAAGAGGAUAAACAAAAGAAAUAAAAAUGUAAGAAAUAAAAGGCAGUGAGAUUAUGAAAUCCUUAAAAGACAGAGGAACAGAUGAAGAGAUUAAGAGCAGCAAAACGGAUGAAUGAAAAGAGAAAUUAUGAAUGCAUUUAAAAAGGUGAACUCUCAUAAAAGCAGGUCUGCAAAAGUGAGUUUUAAGAUGGCUGAUUUUGCAUGUUUUAUCUCUUAUCUCAGGCACAUAAAGCCCACAGCCAAGGGACCCUGACAGCAUUAUCAGAGCUCCCUUUAGAUUUAAGGUUCUGACUUUGGGACAGCCAUAUCAGCGUCGUAUAAAGAUGUGAUGUUUUGAGACAGCUGACAGAGGACGAUGACUGUUGUGAGAAAGAAGUGAGUUUGCAGUUCUCCCCACAUCUUGUAUUUGUUAAACCAGGUUUUAUAACUGCAGAAAACCCAUCAGCAAACAAUAAGAUUCAAGGACCAACCCUGACGUUCUCACUGGGUCAUUUGUUUGCACUUUCACCGGUCAUAUGAUUCACAAAUACAGGAAAAACACAAAGGCAUGUUUAGACAGUGACUGUUGUCCCCUCUCUGUCUCCCCCCCUCACUUCGGUCAGAGCAUGGAUGCUCUUCUUGACAGAUGAGGUGGAGAAGGGGGAAAAAAAACCCAAACUGAAUAUUCCUCUCUCUGUAAUCGUUUCAAUCUGCUCUGCCAGAACAGAUUGUGGUCUUUUGCUUCCCUGUUGGAGGCCUGUGUACAUCUCCUCCCUCUCGUUCUUAUUCUCCCUCUCCCUCUCCAUUUUUUCCCAUUAUUGCAAUAUGGCACUCUCCAUUUCAUUGUCAGUCUGGGCACAAGGCUGUAGUGUGGACUCCAUAUAUUAUGCCCAAAGCCUACUGACCACCUCCCUGGUGGAGGUGUAUGAUCAUCCAUCAUGGAUAAAACAUUACAGUGCCCCCAUUUGUCUACAAGUGGGCAGGGGAGGGAAAGGAAAUAUGUUAGUAAAAUUGCCCACCUAGUAUCAAAAUGAAACUCUUAAGGAUACCUCUACCCUAUUUUUCUGGGCAAAUUGAAUGCAUUUUUCUGGACUGAGGGAGCGUGGAGCAUGCAAGAUUAGGUGCUUCUUUUUAUUUCGUAUUUUCCAGUGAUCCCCCAGCCCCGUUUAAAGACCCACAGUCAGUGUUGAUUGAGAGAGCCCUCAUAAGUGGCCACGGCAAUUCCAACAACAACAACAGUCGACCUCCUCUGGCAGGAAGAAGGCCCUUAACCACAAGAGCCGGGGCUGGAGGAGGAGGGGGGAGGAGGUGGGAGGUGAGCCAGGAGGAAGGCAGCUUGCGGUCAUACAUCUUGGGAAGGCUGCAUGUGUUGCCCAGACAGCCCCUUAAGUGACUUCACCUCAUCUCAAUGGUGCUCAUUACGUGCCAUAGAAAGCCAUCCAUUCAGGGCGGCAGUAUAAAACAAACCGAGCCCAUCUGGAGAGAGCACACGAGGAUGUCAACACAGGCUUAGGAAAUUGAUUGGGUUGUGUAGGAUGCUGUGAAUGAUAGGGGGUUAUUGUACAUCUCAUUAUUUAUUGGCAGCCUUACAUUUUUACACGCUCAACUCCAUAGUGUCACAAUUACGGCUGCAUAUUUUCAAUCUCAGUGUAUCAACAAGGUUCCCACACAGUCUCUUAAACUAUCCUCAGAGCCAGAAACGAUGCACCCACAGUCGGCUUUUUAGAAAGUUUUCCAACAGCUAUAAUUCAGAUUGGCAUCAUGGCAAAGUCCACACAGUUUUUGCUUUCUCUCUCCCUCUCUCUCUCUCUCAGUCAGUCAGGAAGUGGACUAAAAUCUUUACUUUGAAUGCUGAAGUUUAAAACCACUGAAACAAUUUUCUUUUAAUCAACAUACCAACAAUUUGACAUCACACAGGAAAGCAGCAGAUGAAAUUAGACCGACCAUUUUCAUUCAUCAGACGUCAGGCUGGGUAUGCUGUUAAAAUGUCAGUGCAUUUUGUUCCAGGUAGUUAAUCAUGUAAAUUUAAGUGGUUAGACCAGUAUUGUGGCUGAGUCACUCAAGUCCAGGUCCAAGUUGAGUCAUCAGAGAAGAAUCUGAGUCGAGUUCCCAUUGCCUGAGGUUUUAAAAUAGAAAAGCGUUGCUUUACGCCACACUUUUCACUCAAUGAACCAUGACUGACUUUUAUCAUCAUCGAAUUCUGAGUGAUCCUGUUGUUGUGUCAGAAAAUUGAAGUUGAAUGGAUGUGAAUGGAAAACUCACCAAUGGCCUGGUGGUCUAAGCACCCCAUGUAUAAAGGCAAUAGUCUUUGGAGCGGCACAUGACCUCAUAAACUUUACUAAUUGAUGCAAUUCACUUACAUAUCCUUAUUUAACUGUAAUAAUAUUACAAUCUGCCCCAUAACUGAAACUUCUUUGGAGAGGACAUUGCCUCUUUAUGGAUUGUCUGUCAUACUUUUAUUAAGAUUUUUUUUUUCUUGCUUUUAUGUCGCCUCAUAUCUGCAUUAUCAAACUAUGCUUUUAUUUUGAAGUUUGGUGGAUUUUAAAAUCCAGAACUGAAAGAAGACUGUUUAAAGAGCGGUUAGAUCAUAUCAAUGGCCGAUUGAUUUGUAACCCCAGGAGAUACAAGCUCUAACCUUGUUUUUGAAUUCACAAUAAAACCUGAACAUCGGUUUAUAAAAGAAGGUUGUUUCAGCUAGCCUGUUGCAGUCUACUACUUCUUCUUCAUCUAUCCUAGGUCUUAUCAUGCAUUGCAACCAGCAUAAAAGACUAUUUUUAUGAACUCAUGUUAUUACAGUAAGCUUAUUUAUCAUCAAUACUGGUAUAUAGUGACAACCCUAGCUGCUAACUCUACUGUUAGCAUACUAGCAGUAUCUGCUACAGUCUGAGUUUGUUGUGGUAUUCGCUUCAAUGUUUCAUUUGUAUAGUUUAACAUAUCAAACAUACUGAACUUCUCAUCCUUGUACGUUCUUAAAUCUCUGAAGGCAAAACUCACGACUGUCACCUUUGCUGGCAGCUUAGCAGGAACCUGACAGCAGCUCUCAAUAGAUUUAUCCAAGUGUCCAAAUGCUGUCAAUUUACAUGUCCAGAUGGACUCAUAGUUAUUAAAGAAUCAGGCCUCAGGUUGGGCUAAAGUACCAAAGCACUAGUUGAUGCAUAUCCUUUUUUCUCAGUUGAGUAACAUCAACAUGAACAAGAGUGAAUAUCUGAAGGAGCAUUUGAUCUUAGCUCCAGUUAAAUCCUUUGAAAGUCAGUUAUCUACAUUUGAGCAGCUAACUUAAGCUUUUAACCACAAAAUUAGCAAUGAGGCAGUUUUGUGAACAGUCUAGUUCUGUUGCAAAAUAAAAAAAAAGAGGAACAAUUUCCUGGUCAAUAUUUUUAGGACUAAACAUAGAAUAAGACAAUCAGCCAUUGAGUUCUCCACUCUGAGUGUGCAGUCAGAGUAAAGAGGCCUCUGUGAAUGUAGUCAGCUGAUGCAGAGAGAGAUUCUCUUUGCAACCAGAUGCCAAACACUUGUUAGCGUUUUCUUGAAAAUGAAAUAACAACAUUGGUUAUUCACCACCAGUACUUCCAAAAAAGUUGCUAAAGGUUGUUUUGAAAAUGCAUCCGUUAAAUUUUCUUAAUGCGUUUUAUCAGAUACCAAAAGCAGAUUAAAUCAGACCCACAAUGGCUGUCACAUUUUUGAGCUUAAAGGAUUAUUCAGUCUUGUCAACAUGUGGCCACGUCUUUGUUUAAUUAGAGCUCUGCUGACGUUAGAAAAGCCAAAAAAGAAAAAAAAGGGGGCUGGGUUGAACCAGUCUGCAGAGCAGGUGUCCUAGUUGCAGAGGUAAAGUCCUUCUUUCACUGGAUUUUAGUUUGACUGCUGCUCUUUAACCAUUUGGUGCAUGUCGUAUCAAAGCAAAGAUAAACACACCAACAGUACGACUCAUUUUUCAAAGCCUCUAAUUUGAAACACUUAAUUUUGUCACUGUGUUGCAUAUUUUGUAUUUCAAAUUGCAGGCACAGAUCUUACAAAGUCUUUAAAUAUUUGCUCAUAAAUCAAGUGUCUCCACAGUUGGCCUCUUGGAAAGUAUUUCAAUGGAUGUUACUCAAAGCAGGGCACCAUGGCAAAGUCCACGCAGCAUUGAGUAUUCAUUUUGAAGCCCGUGUUUACGUUGCUUGGCUUGGUAGCCUAGCGCCUCGGAGCAGCGGGCUCCUGCUGAGAUGAAGCUGCUGCUUUCACAAGAUGGAGUCAAACACAGAAGAGGAGGCGAGAACAUAGGGAGCGAAAACGGGCAGAAAACUCUUGAAGCUGCAUUAUCUUCCACUUUCAAAUUCAUUUAAAAUGCCAGGUUUGACAAAUUACACCUUUCCUCCGCCUAAUAUCUCCCUGUAACUGCCUUUUUUUUCUUCCACACAUUACUAUUUAAUGUACAUGUGCAGCUUUUUGAGUGCAGGAAGUGUCCAGCUAAUGAAGCAGAGCUGGAGUCACUCACGCCUGCCUGUGGAAUCAGCACGGACACUGAAUUGCACCAUGUGAACUGCAGCAGGGUGAACAGACUCAGCCAACCAAGAGCUACCGGCCUUAAUCGCUGUGAUUUAAAUUUCUGUUCCUUUCAUUAGGAAGCAUUGACAUUUUAAGCACACCUGUACGCUGCUGUCACUGAAUAACCUUUAAGAAGAAGAGAGAUGUGUCGCUCUUCUGAGGAGACAAAAGCCCAGAAGGAAAUUUACACUGACACACUCAGUCUUCUGUUGUGUACCUUAUAAUUCAAACCAACUGAAAAAGAAAAACUAAAAAACAAAAGAAAGUAUAAAAGAGAGUAUGUUCAGACUGUUUGUGCACCAUGCUCAACACUUUCAUCUUCAUGUUUCUGUUUAAAUUCAACAUUUAUUGUAAGGUGUUUUCAAGUUUUUGAUGUGCCUUCAGACAAGCUCUCAUUCAUGUGGUUUCUUAAAAAAAAAGCAUCUCAAGUUUUUAACCACAUUGUGUACCAUGAAUUGAGCUGUUAGGGACCCCAAAGGCGAAUAGAGGUGUAUAAAACAUGUGCUGCUCAUAAGAAGAGUCCUUAACUGGAUGAAACUAAAUUAAAAAUGCAUAUUAGUUUCUGCGCCAUUUAGUCAUGCGUAUGAGAUGUACUCACAGGUUUCACAUCCUUUCUGGUUACUUCCAGCCCACAGUUCUGCUCCUUCUGUUAAUGCAAUUCAGCACAUGUGUCCAUAUUUCCAUACCAUGCUUGAGUAUGUGGUUUUAAUUUGUGGGAACAUAUGUUUUCAUUAUGGCAAUUGGUGUAUGAAAUAAUGUUGCUUUUUUUUUUUUUUUUCCCAGAAAUGCACCUGCAGUUGGGCAUAAGGAGAUCGGGCCUCUUUGGAGUUAAUGUUGCCUUCAAAAGGACAUCAAAGUGAUGAUUUCCAGACUUCCACGAGCUGAACUUUACUGAAAUCUACACUGAUGUGUGUUUUUUUUACAAGUUACACAACUGCUACAACUGUGUGGCCUCCAGACCAUCAACUCUAAACAGUGAUUCAUAAUUCCUGUUAACGCUGGCACACAGUUGGAUUUAGUGUAUUAAGCAUUCUGACCAAAGCAAGUUUGAUGAAAGUAUUGUUUUCUGCUUUUUCUAGCAGCUGCCUUUCAUCAUAGUAUGUAAGGGAUAAUGGGCAGUGACAAGGUUGUUUUAGUUGCUUGAAUCCCGAAAAGGUCUGAAAGGGUUCCUCUAUCAGAUCAGCCAGUUCACUUUACAUCCUGUUAAUAACACUGCUACAUAAAAUCAAAACAUUAAUACCAAAUGUUGAUGUGGAAAUAAUUUAGUCAAUUUCAAAAUGGUUCCAAGUUGUCUGUUACACUCACAUUUUGGGCUCCAUCCAUUUUAAGUGUUAAUUCAACAGCCCUCAGAAAAUGAGCUAACAUUUAUGUUAUUACCAACCUGAAACUGAAUAUUUGCACUGAUGGUGAAGAGAAACAAGGUGAGCAGGAUCACAUGAGUCAGUGCCACACCUGAUGGAGUUUUCCUGGCUCAUCACAGUCAUAGUCAGCAUUUCUUUUCCAUUUAUCAUACCUUCAAACGCCUCCCAUAGC